This 82-nucleotide transfer RNA is filed under the name Echinostoma caproni. It matches the Rfam family "tRNA". Rfam says of the family: Transfer RNA (tRNA) molecules are approximately 80 nucleotides in length. Their secondary structure includes four short double-helical elements and three loops (D, anti-codon, and T loops). Lineage: Eukaryota; Metazoa; Platyhelminthes; Trematoda; Plagiorchiida; Echinostomatidae. The record is from Rfam by way of RNAcentral.
GGCCUCGUAGCUCAGCUGGUAGAGCGUGCACCUACCAAUCAUUGGCGGCGUCCAUGCGUGGGUUUGAAUCCCACCGAGGCUA